RNAcentral lists this microRNA precursor (206 nucleotides) under Oryza nivara. Its description in RNAcentral is "MIR812 microRNA precursor family". It matches the Rfam family "MIR812 microRNA precursor family". The record is from Rfam by way of RNAcentral. Lineage: Eukaryota; Viridiplantae; Streptophyta; Magnoliopsida; Poales; Poaceae.
AAAAAGAUAAACUCUGAUUUCCGUGUCCAACAUUUGACCGUCCAUCUUAUUUAAAAAAAUUAUGAAAAAAAUUAAAAAAACAAGUCACGCAUAAAGUAUUAAUCAUAUUUUAUCAUCUAAUAACAAUGAAAAUACUAAUUAUAAAAAAAUUUCAUAUAAGACGGACAGUCAAACGUUGGACAUGGAAACCUAGGGUUUGUCUUUUU